Molecule: long non-coding RNA, 499 nt
Organism: Haliotis rubra (blacklip abalone)
Lineage: Eukaryota; Metazoa; Mollusca; Gastropoda; Lepetellida; Haliotidae
Exons: 3
Source: RefSeq, a predicted model, not a curated record
GAAACAAAAGAGACGUACGUUGGUAGCAUGUGCCUCUCGUCUCCAGUGAGUCUGUCACACCACAUGUCUCCGAAAGAACAGCUUAGAUUUCUUAUGGAGUUCAUCUUGAUAAAGGCCCCGUUUUCAUUUGGGCUGCCAAAACUCAUCACGAUUAGAGCUCAAAGUGUCACAAAUCCUGACAAGAGAGCAAACAACAUGCUACGUUUGGAAGAUCUGAAGAUCCACGGGAACAAACCUACCCUUUUUUUGACGUUUUUCGAUUUUGACAAAGCUGAUAAUCUGGUUAGCCAAACGAAAAUCACGGAUGAAGAAAUCUUACCAUGGAAACGAACGAAGAAGGCAUGUGUGGAAAUGGACCUAUCAUCUUCUCCAAAUGUCAGCAAGGGAUAUGCUUUGUUGGUGAAGCUUCUAGAAGUCAAUUCCAUUCGAAUGAUUCAAUAUCAGCCCGAGGACAGAAGAUGGAUGACAAGAACCAUUCUGAGAGGAGAUAUCCUAACAA